Coregonus clupeaformis (lake whitefish) is the source of this 394-nucleotide long non-coding RNA. RefSeq lists it as uncharacterized. The transcript is spliced from 3 exons. The record is from RefSeq and is a predicted model, not a curated record. NCBI's taxonomy places the organism in Eukaryota, Metazoa, Chordata, Actinopteri, Salmoniformes, Salmonidae.
UGGACAGUGGAGAGCCAGGUCUGGCACUGCUGCAAAGUGUCCUGGUGACUGACAUGCUUCUGCAGCUCUCUGUCCAGACUCUGGUAAACCUGAUGAAGACGCAGACACACCAAGACAGGUCUGGAUGGAGUCUGAGGUUACCAACCUACUGGACAUCUGUAGGAGCCACUUCUCCACCUCCUGGAGAUCACAGUUGUAGCACUCAUGCUCCUUCACCCACUCCACCAGACUCUGGACCUGGCUCUGCAAACAAGUUCAAAACACUUUCUCUCAUAGACAACUACAGUAGACGUCUCCACAGCUACACAAAUCAGGACACCUACCUUGGCUGCAGUGCAGAGAUCCUGGUAGUCAGUCUGCAUCCUGUUUAUGUUGUCUCUGAUGGUGGGGUCAC